Molecule: long non-coding RNA, 524 nt
Filed under: Lathyrus oleraceus (garden pea)
Lineage: Eukaryota; Viridiplantae; Streptophyta; Magnoliopsida; Fabales; Fabaceae
Description: Pisum sativum (pea) long non-coding RNA (PSAT_LNC026171)
Source: RNAcentral
UCUUUAAAAGAUAAAUAAAUAAAUUAAUAUAUAAUCAACUAAUUAAAUAAAAAUAACCGAUUAAUUUUAUACUAAUUUAAGAAAAGAAAAUAAAUGAUAAAAAAAACAGGGGUGCAUUCAUUGAUUAAGGUUUUAGGUCCGUAAGGCUCAAUAAAUAUAAGCCCAUUUUGCCAAGACAAAUAACCCUAAUUUUUUAACAAAAGGUGAAGAAAAAUAAUAAAAUAAAUAGAAAAAUAAAAAAUAAAUAAGAGAAUAGAAAAAAGAGGAGAGAGUGGCGCUGCAUUAUUAGAAAGAGGGAUAGAGUGAAAUUUCAAGAUUCAAAAUUUCCCUCUCACAUUGCGGCACGUGUCCCAGGAAAAUAAAACAAAAAAAGAAAAAAAUAUAAUGGUGUAGUUAUGGAAGUGUUUUGAGAGGUGAAGAAGAAAUGAUGGGCGAGCUACUGUGUUGUUUGUUUUUUUCCCAAUGAAAUGCGAGAGAUGAUGAGAGGUUAUUAUGUUGGUUGAUUGUGUUGUUGGAAAGGAAAU